RNAcentral lists this transfer RNA (72 nucleotides) under Diaphorina citri (Asian citrus psyllid). It matches the Rfam family "tRNA". Rfam says of the family: Transfer RNA (tRNA) molecules are approximately 80 nucleotides in length. Their secondary structure includes four short double-helical elements and three loops (D, anti-codon, and T loops). Lineage: Eukaryota; Metazoa; Arthropoda; Insecta; Hemiptera; Psyllidae. The record is from Rfam by way of RNAcentral.
GCCUAGUUAGCUUAGUUGGUAGUGCGUCUGCCUUGUAAGCGCUAGGUCGUGGGUUCGAUUCCCGCCCGGGGC